CCUACGGGGGGCUGCAGUGGGGAAUAUUGGACAAUGGGGGCAACCCUGAUCCAGCAAUUCUGUGUGCACGAAGAAGGUUUUCGGAUCGUAAAGUGCUUUCAGCAGGGAGGAAGGAAGUGACUGUACCUGCAGAAGAAGCGACGGCUAAAUACGUGCCAGCAGCCGCGGUAAUACGUAUGUCGCGAGCGUUAUCCGGAAUUAUUGGGCAUAAAGGGCAUCUAGGCGGCCGGGUAAGUCCGGGGUGAAAACUGCUGGCUCAACCAGCAGCCUGCCUUGGAAACUACCCGGCUUGAGUGCUGGAGAGGUGGACGGAACUGCACGAGUAGAGGUGAAAUUCGUAGAUAUGUGCAGGAAUGCCGAUGAUGAAGAUAGUUCACUGGACGGCAACUGACGCUGAAGUGCGAAAGCUAGGGGAGCGAACAGGAUUAGAUACCCGGGUAGUC
RNAcentral lists this ribosomal RNA (443 nucleotides) under uncultured Leptotrichia sp. RNAcentral describes it as "bacterial SSU rRNA". It matches the Rfam family "Bacterial small subunit ribosomal RNA", at positions 338 to 795 of the family's 1533-position model. Lineage: Bacteria; Fusobacteriati; Fusobacteriota; Fusobacteriia; Fusobacteriales; Leptotrichiaceae. The record is from RNAcentral.